CUAAAGCUGCCAGUUGAAGAACUGUUGAGGUUGGCUAUUUGCAACGGGACGAUGAAGAGGAUGUGAAUGUAUGGCUCUGUGGGCCAGAAGGGACUUAACUGUUCUAGUCUUGUCAAUACACAGGAUCCACGCAGGUGAGGAGCAACACAACAAACACCUCCAGAAGCUAAAAGAUGCCCUUCUAAGAACAGGAUACGAUGCUGAACUCAUCAAUUGCCAGUUCUAACAUGCCACAACGAAUAACUGCAAUAACCUCCUCAGAAUACAGACACUGGAAAUGACUGAUCGUGUCCUUUGAUAUCCAAUACUUCCCUGGAGUGGGCAAACUACACCAUGAUCUUUGCAGCCUUCAACGUAUCAUCAAUGACACCAGCAUCUUGCCACGGCCAUCCCUAGGCUUCCACUUCUUCCCUCAAACAACUGCCAAAUCUCAAAGCAGCCUUCAGGACAACAACACCACACAACCCUGCCACAGCAACCACUGCAAGACAUGAAGAUCAUCACUUGUGGGAAUACCACCCACCAUGUAUAUGGUACGUACUUGUGUGCCCCGGCCAAUGGUGUUUACCUUGUACACUGCAGGAAAACAAAGAUGCCCUGAUGUAAGUUAUAUUGGUGAUACUAUGCAGAUGCUACGACAAUGGAUAAAUGUACACCACAGAACAAUUACAAGGCAGGAGGUUUCUCUCCCAGUCAGGGAGCACUCAGCAGUCAAGGCUCUAAUCUUCCCACAAGCGUCCUCCAAGGUGGCCUUCAAGAUACACACAUUUCUGUACCCAUGAAGAUGGCCUCAACCAUGAUCUUGGAUUCAUCUUGUAAUACAUGUAACCCCACCAUACUAUUCUGUAUUUGUAAAAUCAUCUUCCUUACUGUCCUGUUUUGACACCAUCACCUUGAUAACUUAUGACCUCUCUACCUUGAUAAGUUUGUACAGUUUUAUUGAAACCUAUAAAUGUGCCUGUGUGCUCCCCUCUACUUCACCUGAUGAAGAAGCAGUGCUUCAAAAGCUUGUGAUUUCAAAUAAACCUGUUGGACUAUAA
Molecule: long non-coding RNA, 1040 nt
Organism: Hemiscyllium ocellatum (epaulette shark)
Lineage: Eukaryota; Metazoa; Chordata; Chondrichthyes; Orectolobiformes; Hemiscylliidae
Exons: 2
Source: RefSeq, a predicted model, not a curated record